GUAAAGAUCAUCAAGAAAUAUUUGGAUGAAUGGUUGGAUCAACUAAUGCGCAGAAAAAAUUCUGCACACCGAAUUGCAAAGAAUCCGCAAUUAUUAUUAUUAUUAUUAUUAGUUUUGAGAGAAAGGCGGCUUGCUACCUGCUUUGUCGAUUUCGAUAUGGGGACCUCGGGUACUAUGAAAAGAAGAAUUCACAAUUAUUGCUAUGAUAUUAUGAAUGGUUUGUUUCUUUUCAAUGUGGAGUCAUGGUCUAUAAAAAGUCUUCUACUCUUCCACUUGCAACCAAAUUGGCUUAAACAACCACCACUUGGUGGUAACCAAUAAGAGCAAAUAAUAAAUGAUUGAUCAACUUUGUCACACAUGUAAUUAAGCAUACCACUUAUUAGAAUAAUCAUACAUUGCUUACUGU
This 406-nucleotide long non-coding RNA is filed under the name Ananas comosus (pineapple). RNAcentral's name for it is "long non-coding RNA (ACOM_LNC020321)". Lineage: Eukaryota; Viridiplantae; Streptophyta; Magnoliopsida; Poales; Bromeliaceae. The record is from RNAcentral.